This 460-nucleotide ribosomal RNA is filed under the name uncultured bacterium. RNAcentral describes it as "partial 16S ribosomal RNA". It matches the Rfam family "Bacterial small subunit ribosomal RNA", at positions 338 to 795 of the family's 1533-position model. The record is from RNAcentral.
CCUACGGGAGGCAGCAGUGAGGAAUAUUGGUCAAUGGACGAAAGUCUGAACCAGCCAUGCAGCGUGAAGGAAGACGGCCCUAUGGGUUGUAAACUGCUUUUGUAUGGGAGUAAAAGCUGCUACGUGUGUGAGUAUGUAUGUAUCAUACGAAUAAGGAACGGCUAACUCCGCGCCAGCAGCCGCGGUAAUACGGAGGAACCGAGCGUUAUCCGGAUUUAUUGGGUUUAAAGGGUGCGUAGGCGGUUGGUUAAGUUAGGGGUGAAAGCCUGGGGCUCAACUGUGGAAUUGCAGUUGAGACUGGACGGCUAGAGUGUAGUAGAGGUAGGCGGAAUUCGUGGUGUAGCGGUGAAAUGCUUAGAUAUCAUGAAGAACACCGAUUGCGAAGGCAGCUUACUGGACUGCAACUGACAUUGAGGCUCGAAAGCGUGGGGAGCAAACAGGAUUAGAUACCCCGGUAGUC